This 24-nucleotide non-coding RNA is filed under the name Arabidopsis thaliana (thale cress). Lineage: Eukaryota; Viridiplantae; Streptophyta; Magnoliopsida; Brassicales; Brassicaceae. The record is from RNAcentral.
AACAAACUCUUAUCCCGAUCUAAC